Molecule: ribosomal RNA, 774 nt
Filed under: uncultured Septoglomus
Lineage: Eukaryota; Fungi; Glomeromycota; Glomeromycetes; Glomerales; Glomeraceae
Description: SSU rRNA
Rfam family: Eukaryotic small subunit ribosomal RNA
Source: RNAcentral
GGCCUACCAUGGUGGUAACGGGUAACGGGGUGUUAGGGCACGACACCGGAGAGGGAGCCUGAGAAACGGCUACCACAUCCAAGGAAGGCAGCAGGCGCGCAAAUUACCCAAUCCCGACAUGGGGAGGUAGUGACAAUAAAUAACAAUACAGGGUUCUUUUGGAUCUUGUAAUUGGAAUGAGUACAAUUUAAAUCUCUUAACGAGGAACAAUUGGAGGGCAAGUCUGGUGCCAGCAGCCGCGGUAAUUCCAGCUCCAAUAGCGUAUAUUAAAGUUGUUGCAGUUAAAAAGCUCGUAGUUGAAUUUCGGGAUCAAGGAAUCGGUCAUGCCUCGGUAUGUACUGGUUUUAUUGGUUCUCACCUUCUAAAGAACCAUAAUGUCAUUCAUUUGAUGUUAUGGGGAAUUAGGACUGUUACCUUGAAAAAAUUAGAGUGUUUAAAGCAGGCUUACGCUUGAAUACAUUAGCAUGGAAUAAUGAAAUAGGACAUCAGAUUCUAUUUUGUUGGUUUCUAGGAUCGAUGUAAUGAUUAAUAGGGAUAGUUGGGGGCAUUAGUAUUCAAUUGUCAGAGGUGAAAUUCUUGGAUUUAUUGAAGACUAACUACUGCGAAAGCAUUUGCCAAGGAUGUUUUCAUUAAUCAAGAACGAAAGUUAGGGGAUCGAAGACGAACAGAUACCGUCGUAGUCUUAACCAUAAACUAUGCCGACUAGGGAUCGGAUGAUGUUAAUUUUAUAAUGACUCAUUCGGCACCUUACGGGAAACCAAAGUGUUUGGGUUC